ACUGAACAUCUAAGUAAGCGGAGGAAAAGAAAAUAAUAAUGAUUCCCCAAGUAGUGGCGAGCGAACGGGGAAUAGCCCAAACCUAUUAUGUUACGGCAUAAUAGGGGUUGUAGGACUACAAUGUGAAUAUAAUUGCUAAGAAGAAGCUUCUGGAAAGUUGCGCCAUAGCGGGUGAUAGCCCCGUAUUCGUAAACAAUUAUGUUCUAGUAGGAUCCUGAGUACCACGGAGUCGGUGAAGCUUUGUGGGAAACUGCCAGCACCAUCUGGUAAGGCUAAAUACUCCUGAGAGACCGAUAGUGAACUAGUACCGCGAGGGAAAGGUGAAAAGUAUCUCGAAUAGAGAGGUGAAAAGAACCUGAAACCGUGCGCCUACAAGCGGUCGGAGUCCCAAUUUAUUGGGAUGACGGCGUGCCUUUUGCAUAAUGAGCCUACGAGUUACUCCUCACUGGCAAGGUUAACCACGACAACGUGGGCAGCCGAAGCGAAAGCGAGUCUUAACAGGGCGAAUAGUCAGUGGGGGUAGACGCGAAACUUUGUGAUCUACCCUUGGUCAGGUUGAAGUUGCAGUAACAUGCAAUGGAGGACCGAACCAUUAAACGUUGAAAAGUUUUUGGAUGAACUGAGGGUAGGGGUGAAAGGCCUAUCAAACUAAGAGAUAGCUCGUACUCCCCGAAAUGUUUUUAGGAACAGCCUCGUGUAAUUGUGUGUUAGAGGUAGAGCUACGA
RNAcentral lists this ribosomal RNA (725 nucleotides) under uncultured bacterium. RNAcentral describes it as "bacterial LSU rRNA". It matches the Rfam family "Bacterial large subunit ribosomal RNA", at positions 192 to 913 of the family's 2925-position model. The record is from RNAcentral.